UGCCGGGUUCUCCAAAUCCCGGGGUUACUGAAGAGGCACUUGUUACUUCAUUGCCGGCCGUGCGGAUCGGAUCCCCCGUUCCAAGCCAAGGCAUCACACGCGGGAAAGCGACCGGCCCCUGCCGCGCGCUCGACCGUUCGCCGUCGU
Molecule: regulatory RNA element, 147 nt
Organism: Polymorphum gilvum SL003B-26A1
Lineage: Bacteria; Pseudomonadati; Pseudomonadota; Alphaproteobacteria; Rhodobacterales; Paracoccaceae
Rfam family: speF leader
About the family: This family is a putative regulatory RNA structure that is found upstream of the speF gene encoding ornithine decarboxylase in Agrobacterium tumefaciens and other alpha-proteobacteria.
Source: Rfam